Molecule: ribosomal RNA, 472 nt
Filed under: Bacillus pseudomycoides
Lineage: Bacteria; Bacillati; Bacillota; Bacilli; Caryophanales; Bacillaceae
Description: bacterial SSU rRNA
Rfam family: Bacterial small subunit ribosomal RNA
Source: RNAcentral
UAGGNCUUCCGCAUGGANGAAGUCUGACGGAGCACGCCGCGUGAGUGAUGAAGGCUUUCGGGUCGUAAAACUCUGUUGUUAGGGAAGAACAAGUGCUAGUUGAAUAAGCUGGCACCUUGACGGUACCUAACCAGAAAGCCACGGCUAACUACGUGCCAGCAGCCGCGGUAAUACGUAGGUGGCAAGCGUUAUCCGGAAUUAUUGGGCGUAAAGCGCGCGCAGGUGGUUUCUUAAGUCUGAUGUGAAAGCCCACGGCUCAACCGUGGAGGGUCAUUGGAAACUGGGAGACUUGAGUGCAGAAGAGGAAAGUGGAAUUCCAUGUGUAGCGGUGAAAUGCGUAGAGAUAUGGAGGAACACCAGUGGCGAAGGCGACUUUCUGGUCUGUAACUGACACUGAGGCGCGAAAGCGUGGGGAGCAACAGGAUUAGAUACCCUGGUAGUCCNCNCCGUAAACGAUGAGUGCUAAGUGUUA